Molecule: ribosomal RNA, 306 nt
Filed under: uncultured bacterium
Lineage: Bacteria
Description: partial 16S ribosomal RNA
Rfam family: Bacterial small subunit ribosomal RNA
Source: RNAcentral
GACAGCAGCAGCCGCGGUAAUACGUAGGGUGCAAGCGUUAAUCGGAAUUACUGGGCGUAAAGCGUGCGCAGGCGGUUAUAUAAGACAGAUGUGAAAUCCCCGGGCUCAACCUGGGAACUGCAUUUGUGACUGUAUAGCUAGAGUACGGCAGAGGGGGAUGGAAUUCCGCGUGUAGCAGUGAAAUGCGUAGAUAUGCGGAGGAACACCGAUGGCGAAGGCAAUCCCCUGGGCCUGUACUGACGCUCAUGCACGAAAGCGUGGGGAGCAAACAGGAUUAGAUACCCCCGUAGUCCCUGUCUCUUAUAC